CAAUAGCGUAUAUUAAAGUUGUUGCAGUUAAAAAGCUCGUAGUUGGACCUUGGACCUGGACAGGCGGUCCGCCUCACGGCGUGUACUGUCUUGCUGGGUCUUUCCUCUUGGUGAUCUGUUGUUUCGGCAGCAGGGAACCAGGACUUUUACUUUGAAAAAAUUAGAGUGUUCAAAGCAGGCUCGACGCCGGAAUAUAUUAGCAUGGAAUAAUAAAAUAGGACGUGCGGUUCUAUUUUGUUGGUUUUUGGAAUCGCCGUAAUGAUUAAUAGGGACAGUCGGGGGCAUUAGUACUCACAUGCUAGAGGUGAAAUUCUUGGAUUUUGUGAAGACUGACUUCUGCGAAAGCAUUUGCCAAGGAUGUUUUCAUUAA
Molecule: ribosomal RNA, 370 nt
Filed under: uncultured eukaryote
Lineage: Eukaryota
Description: partial 18S ribosomal RNA
Rfam family: Eukaryotic small subunit ribosomal RNA
Source: RNAcentral